This 858-nucleotide long non-coding RNA is filed under the name Apteryx rowi (Okarito brown kiwi). Its description in RNAcentral is "lncRNA (ENSARWG00000005101.1)". The record is from RNAcentral. Lineage: Eukaryota; Metazoa; Chordata; Aves; Apterygiformes; Apterygidae.
GUUGGAUUUUUCUGAUAAUGCCAGUCUGCCUCAGUUCGGCUGACGGAGGUGUAGUUUUUGUGAAGAUUCACCAGGAGAGCGGCGUCUUGCAAGAUGAGUUUCCUUCAUAACAGCCUGGGCUGGGGGCUCCAACUUUCAACGGGAGAAGGAGUGUUCUCUGCAAACUGGUUGUUGAACCUUACAACAGAGCCCACAAAAGAAAGACCAGGGUAGGAAAAACAUCACUGUAUUUGCCGUAGAACAUAUGAAGACAGAAAUCUGAAGACCUCGCUGGGGUCAACCCUUAGCAGAGGAGACUGUCACUGGGCAAGGUGGAGGAAGGAGCUGCAGUGGGCAAUGGUCUUUGCCACCAAGGCUGUCUCACAGGACAUGUGACUUACUUACAAGAUGCACAUAUCAGCUUAUGCAAGCAGUUUGACUGCAGCAAUUGAGCAGGGCAUUUUGCAAGGGAAUAAGAGGAAUGGGAGAGCUGGAGUUUCCCAGGUUCCAGUCCCUGCUUUCCUGGAAGGAGCUGAGCCACUGAGGACCCUGCUCCCAAAAGGGAGAGAAGAUGCUGUCUCUAACAAAGGAAAAGACACUUAAGCUGGGGCUUGCAGCCUUGUGGGAAAUCUUAGGGAGCGGAAGGUGACAAACAGCUGUUUUUGACCAAAGAUGUCCAUGGGACAAAAUUCAAUAACCACUGCCUUGCAUUGGUGGCUCUCUCCCUUCACUCAGGCCCACCAGAGCUGUUAGUGGAACUGGAGUACAGGUGGUGAGGAAGAAGAGUGUCACUGUGACAGUUGUCUGCGUGAGACAAAAAUGGAGACUGUCCCAGCAGGUAGGGAAAUUCCUGCACGUUGAGCGAGCCUGGAAAAACAC